UGUCAGGUGGGGAGUUUGGCUGGGGCGG
This 28-nucleotide non-coding RNA is filed under the name Arabidopsis thaliana (thale cress). Lineage: Eukaryota; Viridiplantae; Streptophyta; Magnoliopsida; Brassicales; Brassicaceae. The record is from RNAcentral. RNAcentral also lists the same sequence under 2 other names.